GUUUGAUCUCAAAUCAGGUAGGACUACCCGCUGAACUUAAGCA
This 43-nucleotide ribosomal RNA is filed under the name uncultured Tomentella. RNAcentral's name for it is "partial 28S ribosomal RNA". Lineage: Eukaryota; Fungi; Basidiomycota; Agaricomycetes; Thelephorales; Thelephoraceae. The record is from RNAcentral.